Molecule: unclassified non-coding RNA, 695 nt
Filed under: Portunus trituberculatus (swimming crab)
Lineage: Eukaryota; Metazoa; Arthropoda; Malacostraca; Decapoda; Portunidae
Description: uncharacterized LOC123502279, transcript variant X3
Source: RNAcentral
UAACGAGGCUGGUGUUUCAAGGCGUUGACGAUCCAAAGGCCUGACUCCACAGCGGUAAUGAGCCUCGUCUACCUUGCACUUUGACGGACAACGCUCACUACCAACACUUCUAGAAGCCUCCGCCGUAAGAUUGCAUCGCGCACACGGUCUACUCUUAACGACCGCCACCGCCGCUGCCGCCGUUGAGGGAGACUGGCUGGGUGAGUGGGUGAUAGAGGCGAGGCAAGUGUGGUGAGGCGGAGGAUUGGAGACGAGAACCUACAGAUGACGGCAGACACGGAAGAUUCCACUAACCAGGAGUUGGUGAUCCGAAGCCGUGACUGCAGCGAUCCCGUGCGUCCUGCACCAUCAAGGAAGGACUCUCUGGCUUCGCACUGGGCCUACAUUGACCGUUGCCGCCGCUGCUACCGCUACUCGGAGGGGCACUGCCUCGCAUUGGGCCUUCACUGCCGUCCCGCUAAUACACGUGUCGCCGUCGCAGCUACUGGCACUGAGGGACUUCGCCUCGCAGCGGCCUGGCAAACACCUGCUACACCACCACCACUAACUCCACCGCAGUCCAGAGAUUCAGCUUCGCAUAGCAGACAUCCUCCUAUUCAACGCUUGCUGCCACUACCACCUCAUUAUGGUGGUGUCACUGUACUUGGAUCUGUUGUCACUACUGAAUAAUAAUGUGUAAAAAAUCUUUUUGUUUC